This 465-nucleotide ribosomal RNA is filed under the name uncultured bacterium. RNAcentral describes it as "partial 16S ribosomal RNA". It matches the Rfam family "Bacterial small subunit ribosomal RNA", at positions 338 to 795 of the family's 1533-position model. The record is from RNAcentral.
CCUACGGGAGGCAGCAGUAGGGAAUCUUCCACAAUGGGCGAAAGCCUGAUGGAGCAACGCCGCGUGGGUGAAGAAGGUCUUCGGAUCGUAAAACCCUGUUGUUAGAGAAGAAAGUGCGUGAGAGUAACUGUUCACGUUUCGACGGUAUCUAACCAGAAAGCCACGGCUAACUACGUGCCAGCAGCCGCGGUAAUACGUAGGUGGCAAGCGUUAUCCGGAUUUAUUGGGCGUAAAGGGAACGCAGGCGGUCUUUUAAGUCUGAUGGGAAAGCCUUGGGCUUAACCGGAGUAGUGCAUUGGAAACUGGGAGACUUGAGUUAAGAAGAGGAGAGUGGAAAUCCAUGUGUAGCGGUGAAAUGCGUAGAUAUAUGGAAGAACACCAGUGGCGAAAGCGGCUUUCUGGUUCUUAACUGACGCUGAGGUUCGAAAGCGUGGGUAGCAAACAGGAUUAGAUACCCUGGUAGUC